AACGCAUAUUGCGCUCUCUGGUAUUCCGGAGAGCAUGCUUGUUUGAGUAUCAGUUACCACCUCAAGUCCGAUGUGGGUUUGGUGUUUAAAAGCGCCGAUCCCCUCAUCUUUAGACUUGGAUUUGAGUGAUCCUAACACAUUCACUUUAUUUAUAUUGUGAAAGUGGCAGGCCACUUGAAAUGCAGGUGCGGCUGAACAUUCUUCUGAGCUAAAAGCAUAUUUAUUUAGUCUUGCUUCAUUGCUGGAUUAUUACUUUUUGCUGCAGCUAACAUAAAGGAAUGAAUGUUCUUGGCUGACUGAUGCAGGAAUUUAACAGAUCUUUUUUAUAGAGAACUGUGAAUCUCGAUCUCAAAUCAAGUAAGACUACCCGCUGAACUUAA
Molecule: unclassified non-coding RNA, 380 nt
Filed under: uncultured fungus
Lineage: Eukaryota; Fungi
Description: partial contains 5.8S ribosomal RNA, internal transcribed spacer 2, and large subunit ribosomal RNA
Rfam family: 5.8S ribosomal RNA (bases 1-52)
Source: RNAcentral